This 764-nucleotide long non-coding RNA is filed under the name Gallus gallus (chicken). Its description in RNAcentral is "lncRNA (ENSGALG00010010169.1)". The record is from RNAcentral. Lineage: Eukaryota; Metazoa; Chordata; Aves; Galliformes; Phasianidae.
GGAAAAGAAGUGGAAAUGGAGUGUGACAUCUGUGGGAUAGCCUUCCUUUCAUCUCCAUGUUAGUUACAGGAAAACACCAUUCCUUCAUUAUUCUCUGUGUUAUCCAUGCAAUAAUUGCAGUUCAGGAGAAAGAUGGCCCAACAAUCUUCCUGGCUUUGAUCUGCUGAACUGAAGAUCCUAGUGGAUUAUAGUUGUAGAACAAAAAUGCCAACAUUCAACUUUCCAGAGUGUGACAAUCUGUGCUUUAUGCAGAGGAUCGUAUCCAUACAAAAACAGAAAACGACAGUGGAAGACACUCUGGAGGAGCAUAGAAUCAUAGAAUGAAUUAAGCCCCUCCAUCAAUCCAUGCUGCAGAGGAGUGGGCAUUCACAGUGAUUCUCCAGAUACCCUUCCUGGUGUGGUUGUUUAUGUCCAAAUGACAACAGACUAGAUGGGGAGCAAUAUGUCACCUUCUCUGGACACUGAUUUCUUCAGAAGGCAUUUUCCUGCAACAUGAAUAUUGGGUUCAAGUCUCCAUUUUUAAUGUGACAGAGUUCGGGCAUGAUGACCAUGGAUUUGGCGUUUGUCCUCGCCUUGUUGAUGCAGACUGUGCAGGAGAAUGCUGAGUUACAUGCAGCCAUGCUUGAACACCUGAAGCAGCGUGAGCUGUUUCUGCAAGAGAAGAUGGCACAGCUGCUGUUGGAGACAGAGCAGCAGAAGCUGGAACAGAGCAAGAUGGACAUGCAGGCCCUUCUCUUCACUGCACUGCAGUGUUGGGCCUUGGC